RNAcentral lists this ribosomal RNA (1608 nucleotides) under Escherichia coli. RNAcentral's name for it is "bacterial LSU rRNA". It matches the Rfam family "Bacterial large subunit ribosomal RNA", at positions 614 to 2207 of the family's 2925-position model. Lineage: Bacteria; Pseudomonadati; Pseudomonadota; Gammaproteobacteria; Enterobacterales; Enterobacteriaceae. RNAcentral also lists the same sequence under 1 other name. The record is from RNAcentral.
AAUGGGUCAGCGACUUAUAUUCUGUAGCAAGGUUAACCGAAUAGGGGAGCCGAAGGGAAACCGAGUCUUAACUGGGCGUUAAGUUGCAGGGUAUAGACCCGAAACCCGGUGAUCUAGCCAUGGGCAGGUUGAAGGUUGGGUAACACUAACUGGAGGACCGAACCGACUAAUGUUGAAAAAUUAGCGGAUGACUUGUGGCUGGGGGUGAAAGGCCAAUCAAACCGGGAGAUAGCUGGUUCUCCCCGAAAGCUAUUUAGGUAGCGCCUCGUGAAUUCAUCUCCGGGGGUAGAGCACUGUUUCGGCAAGGGGGUCAUCCCGACUUACCAACCCGAUGCAAACUGCGAAUACCGGAGAAUGUUAUCACGGGAGACACACGGCGGGUGCUAACGUCCGUCGUGAAGAGGGAAACAACCCAGACCGCCAGCUAAGGUCCCAAAGUCAUGGUUAAGUGGGAAACGAUGUGGGAAGGCCCAGACAGCCAGGAUGUUGGCUUAGAAGCAGCCAUCAUUUAAAGAAAGCGUAAUAGCUCACUGGUCGAGUCGGCCUGCGCGGAAGAUGUAACGGGGCUAAACCAUGCACCGAAGCUGCGGCAGCGACGCUUAUGCGUUGUUGGGUAGGGGAGCGUUCUGUAAGCCUGUGAAGGUGUGCUGUGAGGCAUGCUGGAGGUAUCAGAAGUGCGAAUGCUGACAUAAGUAACGAUAAAGCGGGUGAAAAGCCCGCUCGCCGGAAGACCAAGGGUUCCUGUCCAACGUUAAUCGGGGCAGGGUGAGUCGACCCCUAAGGCGAGGCCGAAAGGCGUAGUCGAUGGGAAACAGGUUAAUAUUCCUGUACUUGGUGUUACUGCGAAGGGGGGACGGAGAAGGCUAUGUUGGCCGGGCGACGGUUGUCCCGGUUUAAGCGUGUAGGCUGGUUUUCCAGGCAAAUCCGGAAAAUCAAGGCUGAGGCGUGAUGACGAGGCACUACGGUGCUGAAGCAACAAAUGCCCUGCUUCCAGGAAAAGCCUCUAAGCAUCAGGUAACAUCAAAUCGUACCCCAAACCGACACAGGUGGUCAGGUAGAGAAUACCAAGGCGCUUGAGAGAACUCGGGUGAAGGAACUAGGCAAAAUGGUGCCGUAACUUCGGGAGAAGGCACGCUGAUAUGUAGGUGAAGUCCCUUGCGGAUGGAGCUGAAAUCAGUCGAAGAUACCAGCUGGCUGCAACUGUUUAUUAAAAACACAGCACUGUGCAAACACGAAAGUGGACGUAUACGGUGUGACGCCUGCCCGGUGCCGGAAGGUUAAUUGAUGGGGUCAGCGCAAGCGAAGCUCUUGAUCGAAGCCCCGGUAAACGGCGGCCGUAACUAUAACGGUCCUAAGGUAGCGAAAUUCCUUGUCGGGUAAGUUCCGACCUGCACGAAUGGCGUAAUGAUGGCCAGGCUGUCUCCACCCGAGACUCAGUGAAAUUGAACUCGCUGUGAAGAUGCAGUGUACCCGCGGCAAGACGGAAAGACCCCGUGAACCUUUACUAUAGCUUGACACUGAACAUUGAGCCUUGAUGUGUAGGAUAGGUGGGAGGCUUUGAAGUGUGGACGCCAGUCUGCAUGGAGCCGACCUUGAAAUACCACCCUU